Molecule: ribosomal RNA, 581 nt
Filed under: Lactobacillus gasseri
Lineage: Bacteria; Bacillati; Bacillota; Bacilli; Lactobacillales; Lactobacillaceae
Description: bacterial SSU rRNA
Rfam family: Bacterial small subunit ribosomal RNA
Source: RNAcentral
AUGGACGCAAGUCUGAUGGAGCAACGCCGCGUGAGUGAAGAAGGGUUUCGGCUCGUAAAGCUCUGUUGGUAGUGAAGACAGAUAGAGGUAGUAACUGGCCUUUAUUUGACGGUAAUUACUUAGAAAGUCACGGCUAACUACGUGCCAGCAGCCGCGGUAAUACGUAGGUGGCAAGCGUUGUCCGGAUUUAUUGGGCGUAAAGCGAGUGCAGGCGGUUCAAUAAGUCUGAUGUGAAAGCCUUCGGCUCAACCGGAGAAUUGCAUCAGAAACUGUUGAACUUGAGUGCAGAAGAGGAGAGUGGAACUCCAUGUGUAGCGGUGGAAUGCGUAGAUAUAUGGAAGAACACCAGUGGCGAAGGCGGCUCUCUGGUCUGCAACUGACGCUGAGGCUCGAAAGCAUGGGUAGCGAACAGGAUUAGAUACCCUGGUAGUCCAUGCCGUAAACGAUGAGUGCUAAGUGUUGGGAGGUUUCCGCCUCUCAGUGCUGCAGCUAACGCAUUAAGCACUCCGCCUGGGGAGUACGACCGCAAGGUUGAAACUCAAAGGAAUUGACGGGGGCCCGCACAAGCGGUGGAGCAUGUG